UGAUUUUAUUUUCAUGAAAUCUUGGUAAUUACUAUCCCCCUGUUGGGCCUGACCCAAAGUAUGUUUGAUGCCAAUGGAAAGAGCUCUUGCUGAAGUGUUAAUGGCCUUUAGGGUGAUGAUUUCAUUUGUUACCAUGAAACAGCUGGGUUCUUCAGGAGUGUAGUCAGUCUGCUCUAAUAUAAGUAUCUGAGUAUCCUGAAAUAAACUAUGGAAUAUAUGACACUCUUCAAACAGAGACUGCUUAAUGCAUGGAGACAGGAAGUUUGGGGAGAACUGAGGUGGCUAACCUGAAAGUAUUGCCUGGCACUGUGCAACCUGAAAGCACAUUUUGUUCUUUCCAAUUAAAAUGAUAUCUGCUCUUGUGUUGCCUUAGUGUUCCUCAUUACUCCUUUCACAUUAAAGGUGAGAAGGGCAGGAAUUACCCUUGCAAACUCUCAUGAAGGUUAGGUUGUGGUUUGUGCAAGUAUUUUCACCAUUCAGAAGCUUGGCAGGAAGCACCUUUUGCCAGCACCUGUAAAUGCUGGGGACCAGCAGGGAGCCUAAUCAAAGCUCGUUGUCAGAGCAGAGUUAAUUUAAUUUGGUUAAUCUGUCAUGAGAUGUGUUAUCAGAGAUUCAUGUCCAUUUUAUGUGGGGUGCAGUGGGCAGGCUGAUCAAUGAGCAAAAAUUCUCUUCCUGUUGAUGUCUGAGAAGAUAUUUAUUGGCUUGUAUUGUAUCAGAGCACACAAGUGCAGGUCAGUCCAGCUGCAGAGCUGGCAUCCCAUGUCCACAGAUUAUAUUUAAAUUUUAAAAGCAGCUAGAAGAGUGAAACUCUAGUUCAAUUAAGAAAAAAAUAGUCUCUCAAAAAUUGGAAUUUGAAUCUGAAUUGAAUUUACUUCAGUUGAACUCAGAGUUCAAGCUCACUUUGACCGAAUGAGAGCUGGGAACCGACCUCUUGUACACCUGAUUAUCUGUUUCUAGAUCCUCCCUGAAGCAUCAGGUGUGGAGGCACCUAAAAGCAGCAGGAGAGCAGCAUGGAAAUCAGGAGAAAACACAAAGAAAGAGGCAAAGACAAAUUUACAGAUCCUGCUGGGCCACUGUCCUGUGAUGGUAACAAUGCUGACAAUAUGACACCAAGGCUGCCAUUCAAGCAGAUACCUUGAAGGACAAAACAACAGCUGUUGGGAUUGAAGGGAUCAAGGAGAGCAGUGGUGUGGGGGGGGGGUGGCUCUGAAAGCAAGAAGUGUCAGAGAAACCCCAUGAAAAGUCCAGCUGUGUCAGAGGACAAGAUCACCAUUCUCAAAUAGUCUUUGCUGCUCUAAAGGAGAGCAGUUUGUGAGAGUGCUGCCUAACAGGCUUCUGACCUGAAGAGAGCCAGCUGGGUAAGUUUAAAAUUUAUAAGUGGAUAGUCUGAGCUAUGUCAGAUGAAUUUGCUUGAGGAACUGUAGGAGUGUUCCCGUAAAUGUUUUCAGUAGAAUUAUCUCCACCAGGGAAUGGUGACAAGUACUAUCAAGCCUUGGAGGAUGUAAGAAAAGUAAGCUGGACAUGUGAUUCAAAGCUACUGAAUGCUCAGAGCUUGUCACAAUGCUGCUUUUAGGGGAAUGGCCAAGACCCUAAGAACAGGCAGCAGUGUUUUGCAAAAGAAGGGUUAGAAAUGUUAGGCCAAUGCGAAGCUGCCCAUGCUGGUGCCCCUGCAGCCAGACCCCAGGGUAGGUAUGGUACCAGCCACUGACUGCUCUGGGUCACUUGCAUUGCUGUAAGUCAGGAGCCAGCACAGUGAAGUCCAAAGAUGCCCUGUUGUAAGAGCAAAAUCAGGCAUCUUUUCCAUGUGCUGGGAUUUAUUUGCUGUUCAGGAUUUACAGUCAUCUCUGGCAAUUGCUUCUUGCAGCCACAAACCCGAGUAUAUCCUAUACUGAAGCACAGCAAUAACAAGAUUUGAAUGUCAUUAGGGGCUGUUCCUACACAUCUUGUAUUAAAGCAGCUAAGUGUUUAACCCAUGAAUAGAACUCCUAUUAUCUUUGCUUUUGAAUCCUCAGCACAGAUCACUUAACCACUCUGCAAGAAAUCCCGUGAGAGACCAACAACAGCAGGGAACAAAGUCGGGCAAGAAAUAGCAGAUUGUAUCUUCUAGACCUUUUUAAAUACAUUUUUCAUAUGAGUACAGUCAACUUGAAUAUUACUCCUAAUAUAGAUUAACUUAAGACAGAUUUUUGCAGAGCAUGAGGCUCUGAGAAUUUGGCCAGAUAGUUUUUUCACUGAAAAGCUCUGCCAAUUAUAUACAGCACAAAGUACAGAAUAAUGCAUGAAAUGCAUAAUAUGCCUUUUUCUUCUCUACAUGGGGCUUAAAAAUAAAUUAUACAGAUCUUCUUUGCUUUUUUCAUCUGUGCUCAGGUAAAUCUAAGUCUGAGGUAAGAAUCUGUUUCAGAGGAGCUCAUCUAGCAGAAUGAGCUACCAAAUUUGUUGGUUCAGUUUCCAGGCAAGAAUGUGGCCAUUUGAGAAGUUUCAGUGUUGUACAGGAUCAGCUAUAGUCUCAUCAACAGUUGUGUAAAUCUGGAGGAUCAAGGUUAAGAAGGUAAUAGCAAUGUGAGAUCUGCCUGUAUAUAACUUUUUGAGAAGGAAUCAACACUUUUUGGCAGACCUGAAUGCAGUAGAAGCAGCAGAAUUUAGUAUCUCCCUCAGUGAGACCACAGAGCAAACAAGUCUCUGCCUCCAGCAGCCCUCACUGAAGAGUCAGCACAUCCACAGUGCUUCUAUGUGAGAAUUUUAAAAACUGAUGGAGCUGCAAUGGUGGGCACCAAACCAUGCCCUCUCCUUCAAAGUAGUUACAACAGUAUGUGCUGUACUGUGGUGUAAGUGGGCCAUGUCCAUGCACACCUGAUUUGUGCAGCUGCAGGCUGACACACCAGCACACAAACCACUGAUUACAAGUGUGUGUGAGCCAGCACUGUGCAGUAGCCUUUGCUCAGGCAUGGUCAGCAGCACAGCUCUGCAAAUUGCAGGGAGCUGGUGUGUUUUGUGUGAGGUUGCUGAUGUGGACAGAUAGGUUUACCAGCUCUUUUUCCUCCCAGCCCUCAAGUUCAUCAAAGCAGAAAUCAUUAUGAAGCCCAAACCAUACAGACCAACACUGGGAUUAGCUCACUUGGUUGGAGCAUGGUGCUAAUAGUGCCAAGGUUGUGGGUUGGAUCUCUGUAUGGACCAUUCACUUAAGAGCUGGACUUGAUGAUCCUUGUGGGUCCCUUCCAGCUCAGAAAAUAAAAUAUAUGACACAGUCAUCUUUGCCACACAUGGACUAAUGCCUUACUCUUAAAAAAAAAAAAACAAACAAAAAACCCUGUAUUUCUUUUAAGGCACAUCAAAUACCUUGUCUGAAAACUUCCUUUUCUUGUAGCAUCCAAAUUACAGCCAAACAGGUUUUCACACCUGCUUUUGCUAAUGACUUUCUAAAUACAGAAAGAUAAUGAUAGUUAUCAAGUUUGUUUGCUUAAAUUUGUGUAGUUGUCUUUGCUCUCUAAUAUCCCACAUAGCCCAUGGUGUUGGCAGACUGGUGUCAGAGGGAAGCUGAAACACUCUUUUGCCAAAUCAGCUGUUAGAAACUGCAGCAGGAAAUCAGGCUACCUGUUCAGUUCCCCUCUCCCAGAGAAAAUGGCACAAAUGCACUCCCCUCUCCCUGCCCUGGGAAGCUUUGUCCAAGGGUUUGGAGACUUUAUGCAGAAGCUCAGGCAAAUGUUCCUGUCACACACUGGCAGAGAGUCCCAGCCCCACCUGACACGUUCUGCUCUGUGGGACUGCCCAGUGUGCACAAGGGACAUGAGUGCAUUGGUGGUAGCAAAUGAUCUGUUGAGGCUGCCAAUGCUGGGUUUGAUAUACCAUCAUGAACAAUGAAAAGCUUAUAUUAAAUCAAGAACAGUCACACUAUUUAAUCAGAUAUGUUUUCAGAGCAAACUUUCAUACAGAUGAAUUUAUAUCAGGAGGUUAAGAAUAAAACUUUGUCUUUAAAAUACUAUAUUUUCCACUGUUAGGAAAAAUGAAAAACUAUUGAAGUCUCUUUAAAACCUUGUUUCCUUUCUAGUUAUUCUUCCUGCAGCAGGUGAUAGUGAUAUCUCAGUAGAAGUUUAGACACAUGGAACACGUUCCAGGUGAUUACUGGGAUAAAUCUCUACAUAUUCUCUGCACAGUGGAGCAUAUGCCAAGGUCCUGAACUAAAUUUAUCUCUCAGAAGGAAGGUGUAAUAUACACUCCACAUCCGUACCAGGUAUUUCAUAUAAACAGAACAUAGAACCUGCUCUUAUUGUCUCUGAAUCCUGGCACAGUAUGUUCUCUUGAUAAUUUAUAGACAGUGUUACCACAAUGAAACAUUGGUGUCAAAAAUUUGGCUUUUGCAUAUUCAUUGACACCAGAGUUUGCAUUUGUGAUGUGGCAAAAUGAAACCAGAGUGGAUUAAGAAAGGUUUUCUGGAAUCUCAAGUUUUACAUAACCACCAGAAUGGAAGGCAUUUCUUGCAUGCAGUGGUCACAUCCCCUUUGAAUGUAGUUCUGCCCAUGCACAUAAGAGAGAACCUGAAUUUUAUAACCCACUUGGAGAGUAGCCUGAUGUAAAAUGAGCACCUGGCAAAGAAUCUUGGUUUUGUUUAUGAAAAGAAAAUAUGAAAGAGUGUGUAUCCAUGGUACAGGAUACCGGAGUGGUGAAGAACAUACAUGUAAACCAUAGAAUGACUGAAUUGCAGAACAUUAAGUUAAUGGUGGUUCUGUGGUUCCAAAAAAAUCAAAAUACACUUCCUCUACCUUUCAAGUCUAGCAAUAUAACAGUGUUUAAAACCAAAAAGCAAUGUUUUGGGAACUUGUUGCAGAGCAGGCAGUGACCUGUAGUCUCAGAUAGUGAAAUUUUUAAAGAGUAAUUCCUUACCCUGUUUUUCUCUUUCAGAUUUGAUGCUUAGACUAGUAAGACUGCCAGACUCCCAGGGAAAAGGUCUAUGUCCUCCACAUGCACUAAAGGAAUUAGGAGUCUUGUGUUGUUCUGGUAGUGAUGGAAGGAAAAAAAAAAGUAACACUUUGUCACUUCAGGAAAGAAGCCCAGUCUUCAGAAGACAUUGCUACUGCAGAUUACUCAUUAAACACUCUCAUGGCCUAUUUCCAACCUUUUCUAUUCCUAAGGCAUGUUCCUUAGAUGCUGUGAUUUUUUUGAUAUCAUAGGAAUAUACACAAAUUUGCUAUUUGUUCUGUAUUCACAGAUUUUAAGACUGAGUAUAUUAGAGAUACCCAUUCUUAGACAAAUCAGUUCACUCACCUUUUUCCCCUUCAUCUUAUAACACAUAUCCAAAAUCUAAAUUUUGGUGUGGUAAGGACUUGACUGUUUUUAAGAAAAUGCUAAUCUUCACUCUGAAAUAACUUAGUCUUCCAGUGAUUACAGAAUGUGCUUCGAAGCCGCCUAUGAGUCAGGCUGUGAGUUGGAGUUCAGAUAAGCCUGCAGUGUUUGUUCACCAGAUGGACCAUAAGCUCUGCAAAGUAGAGCAAAGGAUAUUGCUUAUUAACACUGCUCCCAACUUCACUUAUUUCUUUGUACAAAGUCUGGUUACUUGAUGCAAUUUUAGACUGUAUUUACACUGUUAGGAGGAGGAAACAAUUUUUUUAUAACAGGAUAGGCAAAUCUAGCAAAGUAGAUCAGACUAAAAUGGAACUGAGUAUGGUUCCUUUAUUACAUCAUUUUAAGUAGGCAAGACUGAUACCCUCCACUUCUCAAACACACCCACACUGAAUUUACAUACCUGUGCAGUGGCAAAAAAGUAUUUAAAUCAAUUAUGUCUUGGGAUUUUAAAGCAAAUUAGCCCAGUCAUAGUUGUUACCUGUGCUUAAAACACCAUCUCUUUGAUGGUUACAUGCAACCAACAUAAUACUUAUAUAAGACUCAAAUCUGGUUUUUCUCUCAUUUACUUUGUGCUAGAUACUAAUUCUCACCUAACAUGGGGAAUUUUCAGAGUAGUAACUCUCUGAAGUGUCUUCUCUGUAACCUGAUUAAAUAUCUUCUGAUGCAACACAGAUCAAUCAAGCUGCCAUUAUUCAUAAAUGUUAUAAUAAGAAAAUUAAUUUAACAGUUUUAUUCAAUUUAUGAUUUUAUUUUGUUUUUUGUAUUGGUACAGUUCAUUUCUUCAGUUUUUGUGAUUUUUUUUUCCACCUUCAUAUUCUCAAGGUGCUCCACCUUGCCCUUUCCUCUUUUUAGUCUGAAUCAACACAAGAAAAAACUCACUUCACUGUACUGCGGGACCAACAAAUCUGAUGCACGUGCAACUGGUGUAGAAACCUGACACUGUCAAAAUUUGUUAUCACGGGCUCUCUGCCAUCACCCCAGCUGGCAAAAAUGGGACACGGUUCCACUGCAUGAAUGGAAGAGAUGCCUUGCAGACAGCGAUGCUCAGAGAGUGGCACUCCUUGAAACUGACACGGGCUUCAUCUGCUUGUGAAAUGUUGCAACGAAAAAUACCUCCUGUAAAAUUUUAUUUGUAACGUCACUGGAUCAUUAGGAAAAUUCCCUUAAUAAAGGAUGCUCCUGAAUCUUA
Long non-coding RNA from Haemorhous mexicanus (house finch), 6526 nucleotides. RefSeq lists it as uncharacterized. The transcript has 9 exons. NCBI's taxonomy places the organism in Eukaryota, Metazoa, Chordata, Aves, Passeriformes, Fringillidae. The record is from RefSeq and is a predicted model, not a curated record.